GCAAAGGGCUUUGACUCAACUUUCUGAAAGUUUCAAGGUUUUUAUUUGUAUAGAGAAAACUGUGAUAUCCUUUAAUGGCUGUGUUACCUCUCUAGAAAUGGUCUGAGCAUGGAAUUGACAUCAAGAGAUUUCAGAAGCACAAUUUUUGCAGUUGGGGUCGCCAGUAACCACCCGUUCCAGUGCCCCA
RNAcentral lists this small nuclear RNA (187 nucleotides) under Opisthocomus hoazin. Its description in RNAcentral is "U11 spliceosomal RNA". It matches the Rfam family "U11 spliceosomal RNA". The record is from Rfam by way of RNAcentral. Lineage: Eukaryota; Metazoa; Chordata; Aves; Opisthocomiformes; Opisthocomidae.